Molecule: long non-coding RNA, 1920 nt
Organism: Scleropages formosus (Asian bonytongue)
Lineage: Eukaryota; Metazoa; Chordata; Actinopteri; Osteoglossiformes; Osteoglossidae
Source: Ensembl
GUUCUCGCGAGUUUUGAGCGCAUCUCCUCUCGUCAGUGUAGCGGUUUUUUCGCAUAUUUUCUACCCUUUUUAUAAUUUGCAACGUCUGGCGGUAAACGUGCGCUUGAGGAAAAACGAGAACCGUCCCGUAAGCGUACAGCAAUCAAUGUGGAGAUGAAAUUGAAAAUAAUAAGGAAGUAUGAAGGUGCAAAGCGCUAGCCUUUAGCGCGCGGGAGCCGUAUCGAAGGAAGGAGAACGUGAAAGGAACAACUAACUUAACUAGCAUGAAAACAACAAAACGAAGAAACGUCAAGCCAAGGUGCAAUAACAGAUGGAAAAGUUAUUAAUUACGCAACAACAGCACCCUCUUGUGUUCCAGCAUACUACUGACUUAGAAAUACAUGUGAAUAGGUGGGAGAUGCAACAUCAUUACUGAAGUAAAGCUGCUGCUUCUGCGCUGCCUUUUAUGGCCUCUUCCCACACUAUUCGGUGUGAGAACCAGAGGCAUAAAGACAGUGGUUAUGACCAAGUGGUGCCCACACUGCUACUUUGGGCCUGCAACCCUGUAUUUGGAAGAACCCGAGAAGGUGAGCGCAUGAAUUGUGCUUGUGUGGUUCUCAUUAUCCAGCAUGGAGGUGGGAGCAUCAUGGUAUGGGGCUGUUUUGCUGGUCACAUAACUGGUGACUUUUACAUAGUCUGUGGUGAUCAGCAAUCUCAUUCCAUUCGGCCACCAUAGCGUAUGUUACAGGUAUGAUAUUCCAUCAAGAUUACGGCCAACAUGGGUAAACCUACAUAUUUCAACAAGAUAAUGACCUGAAACACAUCUCAGCAUCAUUCAGGUCACUAUCUGUUAACAAAGAAAGUGAAGAACAGCUCAAACUAUUGAUUUGGAUGUAAAAAUCUGCCAGUUAUGAACAAAAAUACUUUCUAAGUAAGCAUAUUCAGAUUUUAGACUGGCACAACAGAUAAACACUAAUCAUGAGAGCUGCUGAUUCCCAUCCACUGACCUCCAGCCACAUGCUCUGAAUUGACGUAUGGAAUUGAUGUAAGCAUAGAAGAACCAAAGCUACAGGACUGGCUGCUUGCUGUUUCAUGUUGGUUUGAUGAGCAUUUCUAACAACUUCACUGGCUUGACCCUAGUACUGAUCCCAAAUGAUGAUGAAAAGGUUCUUCAAACCAACCAUCCUGAUCUCAGAGCGAGGUCAUUCCCCAGUCCGCUUUAUCAAUGGAGAUGGACACUUAUUAAAUUACAAUUCAUAUUAAAAUAUUAUACGACAAAAGUGCCAAUGCCAAAGUGUUAGCCAAGUACAUACUGUAGGUCCAGUAACAACACAGUGUUGCCCUUUUGCCAUCGAAUUUUUUUCUAACCAGGGUGUUUGUGAUUGCUGCUCCAGCAUUCCAUCCAGGUCUUUUAGAUGUCUACAGGCAUCAGCACCAAUUCUCUUGUAGAACACUAUUAUUCUGGAGUGUGUAAAGAAAGUUGUCUACUUGACAGGGUGUCUCAGGUGCGCACACCCUGUUCUGUCCAAGUCAAGCGGUGGUGACAUCGGUUCGCGUGGUGCAGAGUCUGAAAGAACCCAACUGCUGAAGUACACAUAGAAACAAAAAUGCGACAUUUCCUAUGUCUCUGUGACUCGUAUUAAGAUGACAUCUGUGCUUUUGUUUGAGUAAUGGAGCUGUAUUGUGAGUCACAUGCCAUCAGGUGCGUUGGCAUUUUGGCGGGGGACCAGGAGGGGUGGUCGUCGAGGGAGGAUGACCAUAGUUUCUGGUGCUGAUGUAAGCAAUUUAAACAGCGAUCUAGGCAAACAGUUGGAGAAUAAUUUAUUCAGUGCACUUUUUUUUCUCUCAAUGCUUUGUCUGUCCUUUGUCUGUUGCUUUGGUCUAAAUGUGUGUAUUACUGAAAGGUGAAGGUGGUGCAAAUAAAUCUGCUCACACUGUACA